UACGUAUGGUGCAAGCGUUAUCCGGAAUCACUGGGCGUAAAGGGUACGUAGGCGGUGAUGCAAGUCAGAAGUGAAAGGCUACGGCUCAACCGUAGUAAGCUUUUGAAACUGCAUGACUAGAGUUCAGGAGAGGUAAGUGGAAUUCCUAGUGUAGAGGUGAAAUUCGUAGAUAUUAGGAGGAACACCAGUGGCGAAGGCGACUUACUGGACUGAUACUGACGCUGAGGUACGAAAGCGUGGGGAGCGAACAGG
This 252-nucleotide ribosomal RNA is filed under the name uncultured bacterium. RNAcentral describes it as "partial 16S ribosomal RNA". It matches the Rfam family "Bacterial small subunit ribosomal RNA", at positions 524 to 776 of the family's 1533-position model. The record is from RNAcentral.